UACGGAGGGUGCAAGCGUUAUCCGGAUUCACUGGGUUUAAAGGGUGCGUAGGUGGGUUUGUAAGUCAGUGGUGAAAUCUCCAAGCUUAACUUGGAAACUGCCGUUGAUAUUAUAAAUCUUGAAUGUUGUGGAGGUGAGCGGAAUAUGUCAUGUAGCGGUGAAAUGCUUAGAUAUGACAUAGAACACCAAUUGCGAAGGCAGCUCACUACACAAAGAUUGACACUGAGGCACGAAAGCGUGGGGAUCAAACAGG
Molecule: ribosomal RNA, 253 nt
Filed under: uncultured bacterium
Lineage: Bacteria
Description: partial 16S ribosomal RNA
Rfam family: Bacterial small subunit ribosomal RNA
Source: RNAcentral